RNAcentral lists this ribosomal RNA (301 nucleotides) under uncultured bacterium. RNAcentral's name for it is "partial 16S ribosomal RNA". It matches the Rfam family "Bacterial small subunit ribosomal RNA", at positions 512 to 808 of the family's 1533-position model. The record is from RNAcentral.
CAGUCGCCGGGGAAUACGUAGGUGGCAAGCGUUGUCCGGAAUUAUUGGGCGUAAAGGGCUCGCAGGCGGUUUCUUAAGUCUGAUGUGAAAGCCCCCGGCUCAACCGGGGAGGGUCAUUGGAAACUGGGAAACUUGAGUGCAGAAGAGGAGAGUGGAAUUCCACGUGUAGCGGUGAAAUGCGUAGAGAUGUGGAGGAACACCAGUGGCGAAGGCGACUCUCUGGUCUGUAACUGACGCUGAGGAGCGAAAGCGUGGGGAGCGAACAGGAUUAGAUACCCCGGUAGUCCCUGUCUCUUAUACA